GGGGAAUUUUCCGCAAUGGGCGAAAGCCUGACGGAGCAAUACCGCGUGAGGGAGGAAGGCUCUUGGGUCGUAAACCUCUUUUCUCAGGGAAGAACACAAUGACGGUACCUGAGGAAUAAGCAUCGGCUAACUCCGUGCCAGCAGCCGCGGUAAUACGGAGGAUGCAAGCGUUAUCCGGAAUGAUUGGGCGUAAAGCGUCCGCAGGUGGCAAUGUAAGUCUGCUGUUAAAGAGUGAGGCUCAACCUCAUAAGAGCAGUGGAAACUACAUAGCUAGAGUACGUUCGGGGCAGAGGGAAUUCCUGGUGUAGCGGUGAAAUGCGUAGAUAUUGGGAAGAACACCGGCGGCGAAAGCGCGCUACUGGGCCGGGACUGACACUGAGGGACGAAAGCUAGGGGAGCGAAAGGGAUUAGAUACCCCUGUAGUC
Molecule: ribosomal RNA, 425 nt
Filed under: uncultured cyanobacterium
Lineage: Bacteria; Bacillati; Cyanobacteriota
Description: bacterial SSU rRNA
Rfam family: Bacterial small subunit ribosomal RNA
Source: RNAcentral